Molecule: long non-coding RNA, 434 nt
Filed under: Populus tremula
Lineage: Eukaryota; Viridiplantae; Streptophyta; Magnoliopsida; Malpighiales; Salicaceae
Description: long non-coding RNA (PTRE_LNC000055)
Source: RNAcentral
AAGAUUUAAUUGUGACAAAAAUAUAUUAGACAGUCAGAAAGGAAGGGACCUUUACCCAAGAACGAAAAAAAGAGAGAGAGAGAAAAUGCAAAGGGAGGGACCCUUUGCCGGCAUUGCUUGAUAUUUUCUCUGUGGGUUGACGCUGAAACGCUGCCGCUGCUUGAUUGAGGACCAUCUGGCGUUGCUUGCUUGCGUUCUCAACUGCUGCUUGUAUUUCCCAGAAGGACGCGGCGUUUUCAUUAUUUCUAAUUUAUUCUUUGAGAUUCUCUUGGUCGUGGGAUUUCUUGUGAAUGUGAUCAAUAUAAUGUAGAAAAUUGAUUGUGAUAUAAUAACUGAACGCGUAAUGCGAGAUCCCUGGGCCUUCAAAUUUCAAACCUGCGGUGCGGUGUGAACUGAGAAGUUUCGCUUGGAUGGCGCAAAAAAAGAAGAAAAAA